RNAcentral lists this ribosomal RNA (424 nucleotides) under uncultured prokaryote. Its description in RNAcentral is "bacterial SSU rRNA". It matches the Rfam family "Bacterial small subunit ribosomal RNA", at positions 355 to 796 of the family's 1533-position model. The record is from RNAcentral.
UGGGGAAUAUUGGACAAUGGGGGAAACCCUGAUCCAGCCAUGCCGCGUGAGUGAUGAAGGCCUUAGGGUUGUAAAGCUCUUUUACCAGGGAUGAUAAUGACAGUACCUGGAGAAUAAGCUCCGGCUAACUCCGUGCCAGCAGGCGCGGUAAUACGGAGGGAGCUAGCGUUGUUCGGAAUCACUGGGCGUAAAGCGCGCGUAGGCGGCUAUUUAAGUCAGAGGUGAAAGCGCGGGGCUCAACCCCGGAAUUGCCUUUGGAACUAGAUAGCUAGAAUCCGGGAGAGGUGAGUGGAAUUCCGAGUGUAGAGGUGAAAUUCGUAGAUAUUCGGAAGAACACCAUUGGCGAAGGCGACUCACUGGACCUGUAUUUACGCUGAGGUGCGAAAGCGUGGGGAGCAAACAGGAUUAGAUACCCCCGUAGUCC